RNAcentral lists this ribosomal RNA (433 nucleotides) under uncultured bacterium. RNAcentral describes it as "partial 16S ribosomal RNA". It matches the Rfam family "Bacterial small subunit ribosomal RNA", at positions 29 to 507 of the family's 1533-position model. The record is from RNAcentral.
AACGAACGCUGGCGGCAUGCCUAACACAUGCAAGUCGAACGAGACCUUCGGGUCUAGUGGCGCACGGGUGCGUAACGCGUGGGAACCUGCCCUUAGGUUCGGAAUAACUCCCCGAAAGGGGUGCUAAUACCGGAUAAUGUCUUCGGACCAAAGAUUUAUCGCCUUUGGAUGGGCCCGCGUUGGAUUAGCUAGUUGGUAGGGUAAAAGCCUACCAAGGCGACGAUCCAUAGCUGGUCUGAGAGGAUGAUCAGCCACACUGGGACUGAGACACGGCCCAGACUCCUACGGGAGGCAGCAGUGGGGAAUAUUGGACAAUGGGCGAAAGCUUGAUCCAGCAAUGCCGCGUGAGUGAUGAAGGCCUUAGGGUCGUAAAGCUCUUUUACCCGGGAUGAUAAUGACAGUACCGGGAGAAUAAGCUCCGGCUAACUCCGUG